This 526-nucleotide ribosomal RNA is filed under the name uncultured bacterium. RNAcentral's name for it is "bacterial SSU rRNA". It matches the Rfam family "Bacterial small subunit ribosomal RNA", at positions 984 to 1509 of the family's 1533-position model. The record is from RNAcentral.
ACAUCCAGAGAAUUUAGCAGAGAUGCUUUAGUGCCUUCGGGAACUCUGAGACAGGUGCUGCAUGGCUGUCGUCAGCUCGUGUUGUGAAAUGUUGGGUUAAGUCCCGNAACGAGCGCAACCCUUAUCCUUUGUUGCCAGCACGUAAUGGUGGGAACUCAAAGGAGACUGCCGGUGAUAAACCGGAGGAAGGUGGGGAUGACGUCAAGUCAUCAUGGCCCUUACGAGUAGGGCUACACACGUGCUACAAUGGCGCAUACAAAGAGAAGCGACCUCGCGAGAGCAAGCGGACCUCAUAAAGUGCGUCGUAGUCCGGAUUGGAGUCUGCAACUCGACUCCAUGAAGUCGGAAUCGCUAGUAAUCGUAAAUCAGAAUGUUACGGUGAACACGUUCCCGGGCCUUGUACACACCGCCCGUCACACCAUGGGAGUGGGUUGCAAAAGAAGUAGAUAGCUUAACCUUCGGGAGGGCGUUUACCACUUUGUGAUUCAUGACUGGGGUGAAGUCGUAACAAGGUAAGCGUAGUGCU